RNAcentral lists this ribosomal RNA (253 nucleotides) under uncultured bacterium. RNAcentral's name for it is "partial 16S ribosomal RNA". It matches the Rfam family "Bacterial small subunit ribosomal RNA", at positions 524 to 776 of the family's 1533-position model. The record is from RNAcentral.
UACAGGGGCCUCGAGCGUUAAUCGGAAUCACUGGGCUUAAAGGGUGCGCAGGCGGUCCGGAAAGUGUCCUGUGAAAUCCCACGGCUCAACCGUGGAAUUGCGGGGCAAACUUCCGGACUUGAGGAAGGUAGAGGCUGUUGGAACGAUAGGUGGAGCGGUGGAAUGCGUAGAGAUCUAUCGGAACGCCGAAGGUGAAGACAGACAGCUGGGCCUUUCCUGACGCUCAUGCACGAAAGCGUGGGGAGCAAACCGG